Long non-coding RNA from Aricia agestis (brown argus), 185 nucleotides. RefSeq lists it as uncharacterized. Lineage: Eukaryota; Metazoa; Arthropoda; Insecta; Lepidoptera; Lycaenidae. The transcript has 3 exons. The record is from RefSeq and is a predicted model, not a curated record.
AGCCUGUUAUACAUAACCUACCCCGCAAACGAUCAAAUUGUUUGUCAAAUUUUACGUGUUUGUCUAACAGUUUGAUAGUGUACAGCUUUGUUUGAAGCGUUUGUCAAACAAACUACGUGUUUGACCUAUUUGAAGAAAAUUUACACUGGCGUAGAGUUUAACAAACGUGUUUGAACGUGUUCCGC